CUUGUACACACCGCCCGUCACACCAUGGGAGUGGGUUCUACCAGAAGUAGUUAGCUUAACCGCAAGGAGGGCGAUUACCACGGUAGGGCUCAUGACUGGGGUG
Molecule: ribosomal RNA, 103 nt
Filed under: uncultured bacterium
Lineage: Bacteria
Description: partial 16S ribosomal RNA
Rfam family: Bacterial small subunit ribosomal RNA
Source: RNAcentral